This 491-nucleotide ribosomal RNA is filed under the name uncultured bacterium. RNAcentral's name for it is "partial 16S ribosomal RNA". It matches the Rfam family "Bacterial small subunit ribosomal RNA", at positions 29 to 507 of the family's 1533-position model. The record is from RNAcentral.
AGUGAACGCUGCGGUAGGCCUAACACAUGCAAGUCGGACGGCAGCACAGUAAGAGCUUGCUCUUACGGGUGGCGAGUGGCGGACGGGUGAGGAAUACAUCGGAAUCUACUUUUUCGUGGGGGAUCACGUAGGGAAACUUACGCUAAUACCGCAUACGAUCUACGGGCGAAAGUAAGGGAUCUUCGGACCUUGCGCGAUUGAAUGAGCCGAUGUCGGAUUAGCUAGUUGGCGGGGUAAAGGCCCACCAAGGCGACGAUCCGUAGCUGUUCUGAGAGGAUGAUCAGCCACACUGGAACUGAGACACGGUCCAGACUCCUACGGGAGGCAGCAGUGGGGAAUAUUGGACAAUGGGCGCAAGCCUGAUCCAGCCAUACCGCGUGGGUGAAGAAGGCCUUCGGGUUGUAAAGCCCUUUUGUUGGGAAAGAAAAGCAGCAGGUUAAUACCCCGCUGUUCUGACGGUACCCAAAGAAUAAGCACCGGCUAACUUCGUG